CAUCAUUGCAAGCAUGCAUGGGCCACAUCAUGUUGGAUGAUGGAUUAAGCAUCUAGAUGACACCUGCUGUUUGUUGACAUACGUGAAACAGUUUUCUCAUGGACCGUGAACGUAGCAGCUUUUAGGGUCAAGACAUAUUGGAAGAGAACUACAUCUCUUAGGACUUCUCUAAGGGAUAUGGGGCUGACAUCUGCAAUCUCAGGUUUGACCAUUCUUCAUCCAUCCAUCCGUCUGUCUGUCCAUCCAUCCAUCCCUUCAUUUAAUUCAAUAAAUAUUUAUUGAAUACCUA
Molecule: non-coding RNA, 289 nt
Organism: Ictidomys tridecemlineatus (thirteen-lined ground squirrel)
Lineage: Eukaryota; Metazoa; Chordata; Mammalia; Rodentia; Sciuridae
Source: RefSeq, a predicted model, not a curated record